RNAcentral lists this ribosomal RNA (564 nucleotides) under uncultured bacterium. RNAcentral's name for it is "bacterial SSU rRNA". It matches the Rfam family "Bacterial small subunit ribosomal RNA", at positions 108 to 689 of the family's 1533-position model. The record is from RNAcentral.
GAGUAACACGUGACUAACCUACCCUGAAGUGGGGAAUAACCUCGGGAAACCGGGGCUAAUACCGCAUAACAUCGCGAGGGGCAGAUCCUAGUGAUCAAAGGAGCAAUUCGCUUUAGGAGGGGGUCGCGGCUGAUUAGCUAGUUGGUGAGGUAACGGCUCACCAAGGCAAAGAUCAGUAUCCGGCCUGAGAGGGCGCACGGACACACUGGAACUGAAACACGGUCCAGACUCCUACGGGAGGCAGCAGUGGGGAAUUUUGCGCAAUGGGGGAAACCCUGACGCAGCAACGCCGCGUGGAGGAUGAAGUCCCUUGGGAUGUAAACUCCUUUCGAUCGGGACGAUUAUGACGGUACCGGAAGAAGAAGCACCGGCUAACUCUGUGCCAGCAGCCGCGGUAAUACAGAGGGUGCAAGCGUUGUUCGGAAUUAUUGGGCGUAAAGGGCGCGUAGGCGGUGCGGUAAGUCCGCAGUGAAAUCUCUGGGCUCAACUCAGAGUCUGCUGUGGAAACUGCCGUGCUAGAGUGUGGGAGAGGUGAGUGGAAUUCCCGGUGUAGCGGUGAAAUGC